GGGGCCUGUAGCUCAAUUGGUUAGAGCCGGCGGCUCAUAACCGCUUGGUUGGGGGUUCGAGUCCCUCCGGGCCCACC
RNAcentral lists this transfer RNA (77 nucleotides) under Brucella melitensis M5-90. RNAcentral describes it as "tRNA-Met". It matches the Rfam family "tRNA". From Rfam's summary of the family: Transfer RNA (tRNA) molecules are approximately 80 nucleotides in length. Their secondary structure includes four short double-helical elements and three loops (D, anti-codon, and T loops). Further hydrogen bonds mediate the characteristic L-shaped molecular structure. tRNAs have two regions of fundamental functional importance: the anti-codon, which is responsible for specific mRNA codon recognition, and the 3' end, to which the tRNAs corresponding amino acid is attached (by aminoacyl-tRNA synthetases). tRNAs cope with the degeneracy of the genetic code in two manners: having more than one tRNA (with a specific anti-codon) for a particular amino acid; and 'wobble' base-pairing, i.e. permitting non-standard base-pairing at the 3rd anti-codon position. Lineage: Bacteria; Pseudomonadati; Pseudomonadota; Alphaproteobacteria; Hyphomicrobiales; Brucellaceae. The record is from RNAcentral.